This 409-nucleotide ribosomal RNA is filed under the name uncultured Thermus sp. RNAcentral's name for it is "bacterial SSU rRNA". It matches the Rfam family "Bacterial small subunit ribosomal RNA", at positions 981 to 1374 of the family's 1533-position model. The record is from RNAcentral. Lineage: Bacteria; Thermotogati; Deinococcota; Deinococci; Thermales; Thermaceae.
GACACGCGUAGGGAACCCGGGUGAAAGCCGUGGGGUCGCCCCGCGGAGGGGAGCCCUAGCACAGGUGCUGCAUGGCCGUCGUCAGCUCGUGCCGUGAGGUGUUGGGUUAAGUCCCGCAACGAGCGCAACCCCCGCCGUUAGUUGCCAGCGGUUCGGCCGGGCACUCUAACGGGACUGCCCGCGAAAAGCGGGGAGGAAGGAGGGGACGACGUCUGGUCAGCAUGGCCCUUACGGCCUGGGCGACACACGUGCUACAAUGCCCACUACGAAGCGAGGCCACCCGGCAACGGGGAGCUAAUCGCAAAAAAGGUGGGCCCAGUUCGGAUUGGGGUCUGCAACCCGACCCCAUGAAGCCGGAAUCGCUAGUAAUCGCGGAUCAGCCAUGCCGCGGUGAAUACGUUCCGGCCUU